This 484-nucleotide ribosomal RNA is filed under the name uncultured bacterium. RNAcentral describes it as "partial 16S ribosomal RNA". It matches the Rfam family "Bacterial small subunit ribosomal RNA", at positions 30 to 507 of the family's 1533-position model. The record is from RNAcentral.
AUUGAACGCUGGCGGCAGGCCUAACACAUGCAAGUCGAGCGGAUGAAGGGAGCUUGCUCCUGGAUUCAGCGGCGGACGGGUGAGUAAUGCCUAGGAAUCUGCCUGGUAGUGGGGGAUAACGUCCGGAAACGGGCGCUAAUACCGCAUACGUCCUGAGGGAGAAAGUGGGGGAUCUUCGGACCUCACGCUAUCAGAUGAGCCUAGGUCGGAUUAGCUAGUUGGUGGGGUAAAGGCCUACCAAGGCGACGAUCCGUAACUGGUCUGAGAGGAUGGUCAGUCACACUGGAACUGGGACACGGUCCAGGCUCCUACGGGAGGCAGCAGUGGGGAAUAUUAGACAAUGGGCGAAAGCCUGAUCCAGCCAUGCCGCGUGUGUGAAGAAGGUCUUCGGAGUGUAAAGCACUUUAAGUUGGGAGGAAGGGCAGUAAGUUAAUACCUUGCUGUUUUGACGUUACCAACAGAAUAAGCACCGGCUAACUUCGUG